RNAcentral lists this antisense RNA (508 nucleotides) under Kibdelosporangium aridum. RNAcentral describes it as "Saccharopolyspora sRNA 350". It matches the Rfam family "Saccharopolyspora sRNA 350". Lineage: Bacteria; Bacillati; Actinomycetota; Actinomycetes; Pseudonocardiales; Pseudonocardiaceae. The record is from Rfam by way of RNAcentral.
UUGGCGGUGAACUCCCAGAUGCUUUGAUCUUGGAUGAGCGCCUGGUCGCCGAAAUAGUCGCCGUCGACCAUCGUGCCGAGCACGGUUUGGUCACCGUACUCACCGGUGCCGAUCUUGUUCACCUUGCCGUGCGCGACCACGUAGACGUAGUCGGCCUCGUGACCGAAUUCGGCGAUCACGGCGCCGGGCUCGUACUCCUGCUGCUCGAACCGGCCUGCCAAGGCGUUGAGCGCGUCCUCGUCCUCGAAAGUGCGCAGCAGAGCCAUUUCCACCAGGUCCGGGCCGACAACCUGGACCCUGGACCCGGUGUUGGAGACGGCGAUCCGGCCGUCACCGACGGUGUAGCUCAGCCUUCGGUUGACCCGGUACACGCCACCUUGGGCCUGCACCCACGGCAGGACCCGCAGCAGCCAGCGCGAGGUGAUGCUCUGCAUCUGCGGGACGGAUUUGGUGGUCGUCGCCAAAUUCCGCGCGGCCGCGGUGGCCAGGCUCUGCUGUUGCUGGCCGU